UGCUGAUUGUCCUUGAGGCUGACGCCAGG
This 29-nucleotide small RNA is filed under the name Bombyx mori (domestic silkworm). RNAcentral describes it as "piRNA piR-bmo-1444061". Lineage: Eukaryota; Metazoa; Arthropoda; Insecta; Lepidoptera; Bombycidae. The record is from RNAcentral.